GCAGCAGGCGCGAAACCUUUACACUGCACGCCAGUGCGAUAAGGGGACUCCAAGUGCGAGGGCAUAUCGUCCUCGCUUUUGUGUACCGUAAGGUGGUACACGAAUAAGGGCUGGGCAAGACCGGUGCCAGCCGCCGCGGUAAUACCGGCAGCCCAAGUGAUGACCGCUCUUAUUGGGCCUAAAGCGUCCGUAGCUGGCCGUUCAAGUCCAUCGGGAAAUCCGCGCGCCCAACGCGCGGGCGUCCGGUGGAAACUGUUCGGCUUGGGACCGGAAGACCUGAGGGGUACGUCUGGGGUAGGAGUGAAAUCCCGUAAUCCUGGACGGACCACCGGUGGCGAAAGCGCCUCAGGAGGACGGAUCCGACGGUGAGGGACGAAAGCUCGGGUCACGAACCGGAUUAGAUACCCGGGUAGUCCGAGCUGUAAACGAUGUCUGCUAGGUGUGACACAGGCCACGAGCCUGUGUUGUGCCGUAGGGAAGCCGUGAAGCAGACCGCCUGGGAAGUACGUCCGCAAGGAUGAAACUUAAAGGAAUUGGCGGGGGAGCACUACAACC
Molecule: ribosomal RNA, 555 nt
Filed under: uncultured haloarchaeon
Lineage: Archaea; Methanobacteriati; Methanobacteriota; Halobacteria; Halobacteriales; Halobacteriaceae
Description: bacterial SSU rRNA
Rfam family: Archaeal small subunit ribosomal RNA
Source: RNAcentral